GACGAACGCUGGCGGCGUGCUUAACACAUGCAAGUCGAACGGAAAGGCCUCUUUCGGGGGGUACUCGAGUGGCGAACGGGUGAGUAACACGUGAGUAACCUGCCCUUGACUUUGGGAUAACUUCAGGAAACUGGGGCUAAUACCGGAUAGGAGCUCCUGCUGCAUGGUGGGGGUUGGAAAGUUUCGGCGGUUGGGGAUGGACUCGCGGCUUAUCAGCUUGUUGGUGGGGUAGUGGCUUACCAAGGCUUUGACGGGUAGCCGGCCUGAGAGGGUGACCGGCCACAUUGGGACUGAGAUACGGCCCAGACUCCUACGGGAGGCAGUAGUGGGGAAUAUUGCACAAUGGGUGGAAGCCUGAUGCAGCAACGCCGGGUGCGGGAUGACGGCCUUCGGGUUGUAAACCGCUUUCGCUCAUGACGAAGCUUUGUGUGACGGUAGUGGGUAAAGAAGCACCGGCUAACUACGUG
RNAcentral lists this ribosomal RNA (467 nucleotides) under uncultured bacterium. Its description in RNAcentral is "partial 16S ribosomal RNA". It matches the Rfam family "Bacterial small subunit ribosomal RNA", at positions 28 to 507 of the family's 1533-position model. The record is from RNAcentral.